GACGAACGCUGGCGGCGUGCUUAACACAUGCAAGUCGAACGGAAAGGCCCUGCUUUUGUGGGGUGCUCGAGUGGCGAACGGGUGAGUAACACGUGAGUAACCUGCCCUUGACUUUGGGAUAACUUCAGGAAACUGGGGCUAAUACCGGAUAGGAGCUCCUGCUGCAUGGUGGGGGUUGGAAAGUUUCGGCGGUUGGGGAUGGACUCGCGGCUUAUCAGCUUGUUGGUGGGGUAGUGGCUUACCAAGGCUUUGACGGGUAGCCGGCCUGAGAGGGUGACCGGCCAAUUGGGGAUGGGGGACGGGCCCGACCCCCUAGGGGGGGAGGAGGGGGGGAAAUUGGCAAAUGGGGGGGAGGCCUAAUGAGGAAACCCCGGGGGGGGGAGGAGGGCUUUGGGGUGGAAACCGGUUUUGGCCUGGAACAAGGGGGGGGGACGGGAAAGGGUAAAGAAAGCCCGGCUAAACUCGGG
RNAcentral lists this ribosomal RNA (467 nucleotides) under uncultured bacterium. Its description in RNAcentral is "partial 16S ribosomal RNA". It matches the Rfam family "Bacterial small subunit ribosomal RNA", at positions 28 to 507 of the family's 1533-position model. The record is from RNAcentral.